UCUGUAGCGCAAUGGAUAACACGUUGGACUUCUACACCAAAGGUCGUGGGUUCGAAUCCCACCUGAAAAG
Molecule: transfer RNA, 70 nt
Filed under: Trichonephila inaurata madagascariensis
Lineage: Eukaryota; Metazoa; Arthropoda; Arachnida; Araneae; Nephilidae
Description: tRNA-Arg
Rfam family: tRNA
About the family: Transfer RNA (tRNA) molecules are approximately 80 nucleotides in length. Their secondary structure includes four short double-helical elements and three loops (D, anti-codon, and T loops). Further hydrogen bonds mediate the characteristic L-shaped molecular structure. tRNAs have two regions of fundamental functional importance: the anti-codon, which is responsible for specific mRNA codon recognition, and the 3' end, to which the tRNAs corresponding amino acid is attached (by aminoacyl-tRNA synthetases). tRNAs cope with the degeneracy of the genetic code in two manners: having more than one tRNA (with a specific anti-codon) for a particular amino acid; and 'wobble' base-pairing, i.e. permitting non-standard base-pairing at the 3rd anti-codon position.
Source: RNAcentral